Molecule: ribosomal RNA, 406 nt
Filed under: uncultured bacterium
Lineage: Bacteria
Description: bacterial SSU rRNA
Rfam family: Bacterial small subunit ribosomal RNA
Source: RNAcentral
UGGGGAAUAUUGGGCAAUGGGCGCAAGCCUGACCCAGCAACGCCGCGUGAAGGAAGAAGGCUUUCGGGUUGUAAACUUCUCCUAUGAGUGACGAAUAAAUGACGGUACCGCAGGAAUAAGCCACGGCUAACUACGUUCCACCAGCCGCGGUAAUACGUAGGUGGCAAGCGUUACCCGGAUUUAUUGGGUGUAAAGGGCGUGUAGGCGGGAGCGCAAGUCAGAUGUGAAAACUCAGGGCUCAACCCUGAGCCUGCAUUUGAAACUGUGCUUCUUGAGUGCUGGAGAGGCAAUCGGAAUUCCGUGUGUAGCGGUGAAAUGCGUAGAUAUACGGAGGAACACCAGUGGCGAAGGCGGAUUGCUGGACAGUAACUGACGCUGAGGCGCGAAAGCGUGGGGAGCAAACAGG